AUAACAUUAGCUGAUUAAAAAGCAAUGUAACAUUAUAAAUAAUUAAAAGGCUAAAUGUAUUUAAAUUAACUUAUAUGGACUAAAUUUACAAAAGUGAAACAAUUCAAGGGUCAAAAGUGU
Molecule: long non-coding RNA, 120 nt
Organism: Ipomoea nil (Japanese morning glory)
Lineage: Eukaryota; Viridiplantae; Streptophyta; Magnoliopsida; Solanales; Convolvulaceae
Exons: 3
Source: RefSeq, a predicted model, not a curated record